Poecilia latipinna (sailfin molly) is the source of this 478-nucleotide long non-coding RNA. RefSeq lists it as uncharacterized. The record is from RefSeq and is a predicted model, not a curated record. The transcript has 2 exons. Lineage: Eukaryota; Metazoa; Chordata; Actinopteri; Cyprinodontiformes; Poeciliidae.
GAUCCAAAAUAAACAAACACGUAUGUGGUUGAAAGUUCUUUUUAUUUUAACACUCAAAUUUUCUCAGUGUUGGGAGAUUAAUUAAAUUUUUAGACUCACCUGCCGAGAUACUACUACAAAUAAAGAGCGAGUGUAGAGAAACCAGGUCUGCAGGGGAAUUUAAUAAAUGACGCACAGAUGGCGAAAAAGAUGAAACGCCUUCAACUCUUAUCUCAGAUGUCUAGCAGUCAUACUGAUGGUAUUAAAUGAUAAAGAUUCUAGCGAAAGUAAGAAGCUUUAUCUUGAAAACUUAUGCUGGCAGAUGAGCAUAGAAAUGCAUAGAAAUGCUCAUCUCGUGUACAACUAGUAAAACUUACACACCUUCCUGAAAUUCUACCCUGUUUCUAUUACUUGUGGUUCUCAGUUCAGUUUACUCUGAAUUAUUCAGUGGCAGUAAAUUAUAUUUCACGGAUUAACAUUUCCCAACAUUUGUCUAUGG